AUACCGGCGGGAUUUGUAUGUGAGCCCAGCGGAUGGGAUGCCGGCGGUCACAAUAGCGACGCCAGCAAUCCGAUGGUCAAGAUCCCGACAGAGUGAGAGGUUCUUUAACAUGCACCUGAGUGGAGGCAGACAUUUUGUUCACUGGACCGUGCAGCCUAUCCUGGCAUCAGUGAGACACUUUUACGCCAAAUAUUCAUGAGGCACCUUGUAACGGUUUCUAGGAAACUACUGUAUCAUUAACAUUACCUUCACUGUCUGUAGAUGACUCCUGAAAUUUAGUUGCAGUAGACCCCUUAUUGCCAAAGAUUGUUUUUGAGAUGUUACUAUAUUCAACUUACCUAAUUUUAGCUCACAUGUUUAUGCCUAUUUUCACUCAUGUAUGCAUCACACAGCACUGUAACAGGACGGUAGUGCGCCCUGUGCCUGACCCUCCCCCUAAACAUGUGACAUUAUGGGGCGGGGCUGCCAGCUCUCGGAACUAAAGCUCUGCCCGGAAGUUCCGGAAUAUCCAAAUAACACUUCGGGGAGCUCCACAGGCUGCUGCCCAGGCACCCUGCAAGUGACAUGCAGUUGUUGUAGGGUGCCCCCCUUGCAAUGGCACUGCUCACACCCCCCUAUUUAUGGUCCUGGUAUCUAUACGCGCACAUUUUGUGUGUUUAAGAAGUAAAGAGUUAUUUUAGAGGACAUCUCUUUGCAGUUGCAUGACGAACAUAAUAUCAGCUCUAGCCGCCCUCUCCUCCCCUUCCUCAGACGUUUCUACUUUUACUGUAAAAAUAACUCUUUAAAGGUAUUUUGAUUUGCAUGGACUUAAUAGUUGAAACUAAGGACCACAGUAAAGUUGUUGGCAUUCAUUUGCCCAUUUGCUCUCACGCCCAUCUGCUGGAAUGGCAAAAUGCCCAGCUUCAAGGUCUCAUUCCGAAAGAACACUAGAAAAAAUAUUUUAACCAAUCAAAGCAUUUUUUGGACCUGUAUGUAAAUGAUUCCUCUGGUAACAACCCCCACCCCAGAACAUGGCAGUGGUCCAGAUCACCAUCACAUACUCUAUCUUCUAAAUUGUUCCAUUAAAAUAACACAUAUAUCUCUCUAGAUGUAUUAAGCCAAUGAUCGUACUCGUUUCCUGAAUAUCACUAAUGCAUAUAACUUUGUCCUCUGUACUUGAAGUGAUCUAAUAAAGUUUCAAAUGUUUCAAAAAU
Pseudophryne corroboree (corroboree frog) is the source of this 1193-nucleotide long non-coding RNA. RefSeq lists it as uncharacterized. The record is from RefSeq and is a predicted model, not a curated record. The transcript has 2 exons. Lineage: Eukaryota; Metazoa; Chordata; Amphibia; Anura; Myobatrachidae.